GUGGAUCACUCCUAUUGACUAGUACAGUAUUUCUUUUAUGGGAUCAUGUGAGUUAGUGCUUCCAGAAUGGGGCUGAAACUUGAUUUGGGGUGAUUCUGACAUAUCAGACACAGAACUCUGGGUUCAGGGCUCUGGGUUAACCACUGACCCUUGGGCUUGAGCCAUACGCGUGGGCCAGUGUGUCACCUCUCCCUUGUCUGUGGUCCGACUGCAGCUCUGCUCUGUCUGUUAACACCCUACCCCUUUUGCAGUCCUCACACAAUGAGGGAGACAGUAGCCCAGAGGUGGGCAAGCCUAUGUCCUCCAAGGGCACUGUUGCCCAGCUGCACCAAGUGGCUCUUUCGACGGAUGACUCAUUGAUAUGGCUCUUUUUGAGCCAACAGGAAAAAUCUCUCCUGAGACCAUCUAAUGAUAUGCGUAAGAACAACAGCUCAUUUCCAGGCAGACAUGUGAUUCAACUUCUGAGGUCAGAGUGGCCCAGUGCAGCAACAGUCAUCAAAAUAAAAGAUGCUGUGUAACACUCCAUAGUCUCCCUAUCCAAAAA
Molecule: long non-coding RNA, 544 nt
Filed under: Pan troglodytes (chimpanzee)
Lineage: Eukaryota; Metazoa; Chordata; Mammalia; Primates; Hominidae
Description: long non-coding RNA NONPTRT012524
Source: RNAcentral